This 1028-nucleotide long non-coding RNA is filed under the name Equus caballus (horse). Its description in RNAcentral is "lncRNA (ENSECAG00000044304.1)". Lineage: Eukaryota; Metazoa; Chordata; Mammalia; Perissodactyla; Equidae. The record is from RNAcentral.
AUACAGCCCUGACUGCUGAUGGGCUAAAGAAACCGGUGAAUUCCUGAGGUUACUGAGACAAACGUUCAUUUUGAUGUAGAGGUUUCCUGCGCCAGCCAGAUGCUGAAGUUAAGAACUGUCUCCGGGAGCUUCUGAGACAGAAGCAAAAGCAGAGCGGCAAGGAAGGAUGGAAGGAGAGUAUGAGUGAUGGAGGAGGAAGAAGAAAGUGGAGGAGGAAGAGGAGACAGAGGAGGAGGAGGAGGAAAAGAAGAAGAAGAGAGAGAUGGAAACCUUUCUCUUCAGUGAGCCCUAGACUUUUUGUGAAUCAAUACUUUUUCUUUUGCCUUCAGCCUGUUUGAGCUAAGUUCUGAAGUGGUCACGACUAAUACACUUUUCCUAUUGUCAUGAAACCCAGAGCAGCUUUCAAGCUGAAAAUCUUGACUAUUCCUUCUCUUUCUCCUCACUGUAUGUUUGGUGGGCACUAUAUGUUGCUGGCGGGCACUAUAUAUUGCCUUGGUGAUUGCACACGUGGGGAUACUUACCAGGGCUCCCAGAGCUUGCCAGUCUUAGGAUGAGGAGCUAAAGUAAUGUCUCCAUCAGCAUAUCCCGAAGCCUGUAAGAAAUCUUGGAAGUCAGGCAGCCUCCCCGUCUCCCUCCCUUUCUUCGUUCUUUCUUUCUAUAAGCAUUUCUGAGGACUAAUUCAGUUCUAGGUCAUUAAAUAGCAAAGCAGGGCUCUGAUAAAUUCAUUUCAGUUUAAAUUUCAGUUGGUGAAAGAAAAUACGUCCCCAAGAAUAGACACCAACUUCUCGGAUUGAAGUUUUUUUCAUGCUGUAAGCUCUUCAUGAUUUCGAAGUCUUUUAAAAAAUACAUUCUCUCAUUUGACCCUCACAAUAACCCAUAGGGGAAUAGAAUCUAUGAAUAAAAAUGGCUAACAGCCAUUGAGUGCUUUGUAUGAGGCCAGCAGUUCUGAAAGCGUAGUUCUGGGACCCUGGAGUUCUCUGAGAGCCUUAUAUGGGUUCCAUGAGGUUCAAAGGAUCUUCAUAAUAGUA